RNAcentral lists this unclassified non-coding RNA (337 nucleotides) under soil metagenome. RNAcentral describes it as "partial contains 5.8S ribosomal RNA, internal transcribed spacer 2, and large subunit ribosomal RNA". The stretch from base 1 to 120 matches the Rfam family "5.8S ribosomal RNA", at positions 35 to 154 of the family's 154-position model. The record is from RNAcentral.
GAUGAAGAACGCAGCGAAAUGCGAUAAGUAAUGUGAAUUGCAGAAUUCAGUGAAUCAUCGAAUCUUUGAACGCACAUUGCGCCCGCCAGUAUUCUGGCGGGCAUGCCUGUUCGAGCGUCAUUUCAACCAUCAAGCCCCCGGGCUUGUGUUGGGGACCUGCGGCUGCCGCAGGCCCUGAAAAGCAGUGGCGGGCUCGCUGUCACACCGAGCGUAGUAGCAUACAUCUCGCUCUGGGCGUGCUGCGGGUUCCGGCCGUUAAACCACCUUCAUAACCCAAGGUUGACCUCGGAUCAGGUAGGAAGACCCGCUGAACUUAAGCAUAUCAAUAAGCGGAGGA